Molecule: long non-coding RNA, 634 nt
Filed under: Salmo salar (Atlantic salmon)
Lineage: Eukaryota; Metazoa; Chordata; Actinopteri; Salmoniformes; Salmonidae
Description: lncRNA (ENSSSAG00000092538.1)
Source: RNAcentral
GUCAGAAGCAUCGUGUCCUGGGUGACAGUAGUGGUAGGUCAGAAGCAUCGUGUCCUGGGUGACAGUAGUGGGAGAUCAGAAGCAUCGUGUCCUGGGUGACAGUAGUGGGAGGUCAGAAGCAUCGUGUCCUGGGUGACAGUAGUGGGAGAUCAGAAGCAUCGUGUCCUGGGUGACUGUAGUGGGAGGUCAGAAGCAUCGUGUCCUGGGUGACAGUAGUGGGAGGUCAGAAGCAUCGUGUCCUGGGUGACUGUAGUGGGAGGUCAGAAGCAUCGUGUCCUGGGUGACAGUAGUGGGAGGUCGGAAGCAUCGUGUCCUGGGUGACUGUAGUGGGAGGUCAGAAGCAUCGUGUCCUGGGUGACAGUAGUGGGAGGUCAGAAGCAUCGUGUCCUGGGUGACAGUAGUGGGAGGUCGGAAGCAUCGUGUCCUGGGUGACAGUAGUGGGAGGUCAGAAGCACGUGUCCUGGGUGACAGUAGUGGGAGAUCGGAAGCAUCGGCGGCGUGGCAGACCACUGGUUCAACAGCCUCUCAUCUGCUUGGCCUGUCCAACGGGCCUGUUUGGAUUGGGACGGCCCAUAAAGUUCAGUGUGGAGUUAAAUUGUCACUGUCAGACAGGAGCUGUUUACCGUUACUCGUU